AUUACUGGGCGUAAAGCGCACGUAGGCGGCUUCGUAAGUCAGGGGUGAAAUCCCACGGCUCAACCGUGGAACUGCCUUUGAAACUGCAAAGCUUGAAUCCUGGAGAGGGUGGCGGAAUUCCUGGUGUAGGAGUGAAAUCCGUAGAUAUCAGGAGGAACACCGGUGGCGAAGGCGGCCACCUGGACAGGUAUUGACGCUGAGGUGCGAAAGCGUGGGUAGC
Molecule: ribosomal RNA, 220 nt
Filed under: uncultured bacterium
Lineage: Bacteria
Description: partial 16S ribosomal RNA
Rfam family: Bacterial small subunit ribosomal RNA
Source: RNAcentral